CAGUAGUUCAGUUGGUGGAGUGUUAGACUCGUAAUCCAAUCGUCGCUGGUUCGUUAACCGCCCGGCCAGCCUGA
Molecule: non-coding RNA, 74 nt
Organism: Potamilus streckersoni
Lineage: Eukaryota; Metazoa; Mollusca; Bivalvia; Unionida; Unionidae
Source: the annotation of a GenBank genome assembly